GCGGGUGUAACUCAAUGGUAGAGUGUCAGCCUUCCAAGCUGAUUACGUGGGUUCGAUUCCCAUCACCCGCUCCA
This 74-nucleotide transfer RNA is filed under the name Oxobacter pfennigii. RNAcentral's name for it is "tRNA-Gly". It matches the Rfam family "tRNA". From Rfam's summary of the family: Transfer RNA (tRNA) molecules are approximately 80 nucleotides in length. Their secondary structure includes four short double-helical elements and three loops (D, anti-codon, and T loops). Lineage: Bacteria; Bacillati; Bacillota; Clostridia; Eubacteriales; Clostridiaceae. The record is from RNAcentral.